This 448-nucleotide ribosomal RNA is filed under the name uncultured bacterium. Its description in RNAcentral is "bacterial SSU rRNA". It matches the Rfam family "Bacterial small subunit ribosomal RNA", at positions 8 to 460 of the family's 1533-position model. The record is from RNAcentral.
AGAGUUUGAUCCUGGCUCAGAUUGAACGCUGGCGGCAUGCCUUACACAUGCAAGUCGAACGGCAGCGCGGGGCAACCUGGCGGCGAGUGGCGAACGGGUGAGUAAUAUAUCGGAACGUGCCCUGGAGUGGGGGAUAACGCAGCGAAAGUUGCGCUAAUACCGCAUACGAUCUAAGGAUGAAAGCAGGGGACCGCAAGGCCUUGUGCUCCUGGAGCGGCCGAUAUCUGAUUAGCUAGUUGGUGGGGUAAAGGCCUACCAAGGCAUCGAUCAGUAGCUGGUCUGAGAGGACGACCAGCCACACUGGAACUGAGACACGGUCCAGACUCCUACGGGAGGCAGCAGUGGGGAAUUUUGGACAAUGGGCGAAAGCCUGAUCCAGCAAUGCCGCGUGAGUGAAGAAGGCCUUCGGGUUGUAAAGCUCUUUUGUCAGGGAAGAAACGGUGCGGGC